UCAAGAACAAAUAAUACCUAAAAAAGGAUCCCAAAAAAAUAAUAGAAACCCACCUUACUUCCAGAUGGAGCACUUUUUUUUGGAGGGAGUGUUCUCUGGUUUCUGUUGCACACCAUAUACAUUACCAUCAUAAUUAUUACUAUAUUGUAUAUACUACUAAGACGUAAUUAGAGGGACUACCUCUCUUUUUUAAUUCUUCUCCCAAACGUACUCUUUUCAAUAUCAUAUCAUAUAUUGCUGUUACUAGAUCUUCAAUUAUUUUUCCCUUUCUCUCUUCAGAUCUCCAACACCAAGUCUGCAGUAUAAUUAAAAGUCUCAGUCAUUAUAUAUGUAUAUUUGAGAAUUAAUUAAUGGUAUUUGUAAUUACACACUUACAAUCGGCAUCUGUUUUGAUCCAGUGCUCCUUAUUGUGAGAUGAAUCUUCACAGCAAAGUGGAAUGGAUUUGGUUGGAUCGUAUAACUUUGUUUUACAUGUUUGUAAUUCCCAAAGCUUCCUUUAGGAUUGGGGUAGUUGUGUUCAUCAUCACAAGUCCCUUAGCAAAAAAGCAGAUGUAAUUAAUUAAAGUAGAUUUAAAUACAUACUCCAUAUUAAUAUAUUAGGGUGAAAGAAUAGUUAAUUAUUUAAAUACAUACUCCAUGAAAAUUAAUUAAUGUGAGGCUCUCAUAAUAAUUCAUAUAUCCAUCAAUGUUUGGUCGUAAACAAAGUUUCACUAAACCAAAUGCAUCUUUUAACAAAAGUUACAUCAGGUGAGAAAAUAACAGAGAAAGGUCAUGUCAAAGUAAAAGACAAUACUAAAGUAAUGUACCUUACUUUCACAACUUCUGUUAUGGCAUAUAAGCAUGCAUCUCGCAACAAAACAAAAAAUGAAUUCUACUUACUCAAACAAGUAAAUAACCAGAUAUGGUGUGACAGAAUGAAUAAAACAGAUAAACCACCACAAUAUGAAAAAUCUCGAAAAUAUAAGAACAUCUAAUUAACUUGAAAAACUAAAAUGAACCAGAGCAAGAUGCUCACCUCCAAGAAAGAUGGACAGACUUCAAUUAGCUUAACAAAUGCCGCACAAAC
This 1066-nucleotide long non-coding RNA is filed under the name Vigna radiata. Its description in RNAcentral is "long non-coding RNA (VRAD_LNC007743)". The record is from RNAcentral. Lineage: Eukaryota; Viridiplantae; Streptophyta; Magnoliopsida; Fabales; Fabaceae.